Non-coding RNA from Erythranthe guttata (spotted monkey flower), 496 nucleotides. NCBI's taxonomy places the organism in Eukaryota, Viridiplantae, Streptophyta, Magnoliopsida, Lamiales, Phrymaceae. The record is from RefSeq and is a predicted model, not a curated record.
AAAAACCAAGGGAAAAAGACACAGCGCAGAGCAAAAUUUCGGCCAUCGUUUAUCUACUCUGAUCUACUCUUCUUCCGUGAGAAAAAGUAAAUCAUAACAAUGGCGCCGCUUCCUGGACCGUACUCCGGCACAAGCGCCGUCGCGUUGGUCGCUAGGGUUUCAGCUUUCUCAUUCGGGAUUGUUUACGGGAGCGUAAAACUUAGGAUUCUUAAGGCUCAGGCAAAGUCCCAUAAGAAAGCUGAAGCUAAGGGGCAUCACUAGAGGAACAUUCACUCUUUUUAAAUUUUUUUUUUUUUUGGUUGCCGAUGAAAAUAAUUGAUGAGUAUGCUCUGGCCUGAUACGCAGGACCAUAAUUUGUGCUUUUGAGUUGUGACAACUUAAUUACGGGCAAUUGACGUGGGCUUCUUGGUUGAUUUUGUUUCAGUUUUCAGAAUAUAAACCACGAUUAUGAUAUAUGCUCUGCAUUCGAAGCGAUUUGAAACCUAUGGAUGUUCUA